RNAcentral lists this transfer RNA (73 nucleotides) under Acidobacteriota bacterium. Its description in RNAcentral is "Acidobacteria bacterium tRNA-Arg". It matches the Rfam family "tRNA". From Rfam's summary of the family: Transfer RNA (tRNA) molecules are approximately 80 nucleotides in length. Their secondary structure includes four short double-helical elements and three loops (D, anti-codon, and T loops). The record is from RNAcentral. RNAcentral also lists the same sequence under 1 other name. Lineage: Bacteria; Pseudomonadati; Acidobacteriota.
GCUGCCGUGGCCGAAUGGAGCAGGCGCGAGUUUCCUAAACUCGUCGAUGCAGGUUCGAGUCCUGCCGGCAGCU